GUGCCAGCAGCCGCGGUAAUACAGAGGGUGCGAGCGUUGUCCGGAAUCACUGGGCGUAAAGGGCGCGUAGGCGGGCGAUCAAGCGUGCGGUGAAAGCUCGGGGCUCAACUCCGAGUCGGCCGUGCGAACUGGUUGUCUAGAGUCUGGUAGAGGUCGAUGGAAUUCCGGGUGUAGCGGUGGAAUGCGUAGAGAUCCGGAAGAACACCGGUGGCGAAGGCGGUCGACUGGGCCAGUACUGACGCUGAUGCGCGACAGCGUGGGGAGCAAACAGGAUUAGAAACCCCCGUAGUCC
This 292-nucleotide ribosomal RNA is filed under the name uncultured bacterium. RNAcentral's name for it is "partial 16S ribosomal RNA". It matches the Rfam family "Bacterial small subunit ribosomal RNA", at positions 505 to 796 of the family's 1533-position model. The record is from RNAcentral.